UUUGGACUGAUUGGUCAUACAAGAAAUAUGAUGUGUAUAUUGGGUCAGCCUUGGGUUGGGGUAGCAUUGUAUUUGGCCUACUAGCUAUAAGCUAGAGCGUAAUUGUAAUUAGUCCCAUAUUCGAAAGAUAAAUAUGAUUUUACGUAAUUAUAAGAGUGGAAAAAUGGAAGCAUGCAGUGCUAGUCGAUCAUAUAUGAAAUGUGGCAUAUUGCC
This 213-nucleotide long non-coding RNA is filed under the name Elaeis guineensis (African oil palm). RNAcentral describes it as "long non-coding RNA (EGUI_LNC048745)". Lineage: Eukaryota; Viridiplantae; Streptophyta; Magnoliopsida; Arecales; Arecaceae. The record is from RNAcentral.